This 421-nucleotide ribosomal RNA is filed under the name Microbacterium maritypicum. Its description in RNAcentral is "bacterial SSU rRNA". It matches the Rfam family "Bacterial small subunit ribosomal RNA", at positions 161 to 596 of the family's 1533-position model. The record is from RNAcentral. RNAcentral also lists the same sequence under 1 other name. Lineage: Bacteria; Bacillati; Actinomycetota; Actinomycetes; Micrococcales; Microbacteriaceae.
GUCUAAUACUGGAUAUGUGACGUGACCGCAUGGUCUGCGUCUGGAAAGAAUUUCGGUUGGGGAUGGGCUCGCGGCCUAUCAGCUUGUUGGUGAGGUAAUGGCUCACCAAGGCGUCGACGGGUAGCCGGCCUGAGAGGGUGACCGGCCACACUGGGACUGAGACACGGCCCAGACUCCUACGGGAGGCAGCAGUGGGGAAUAUUGCACAAUGGGCGCAAGCCUGAUGCAGCAACGCCGCGUGAGGGACGACGGCCUUCGGGUUGUAAACCUCUUUUAGCAGGGAAGAAGCGAAAGUGACGGUACCUGCAGAAAAAGCGCCGGCUAACUACGUGCCAGCAGCCGCGGUAAUACGUAGGGCGCAAGCGUUAUCCGGAAUUAUUGGGCGUAAAGAGCUCGUAGGCGGUUUGUCGCGUCUGCUGUG